MicroRNA precursor from Cricetulus griseus (Chinese hamster), 106 nucleotides. The record is from Ensembl. NCBI's taxonomy places the organism in Eukaryota, Metazoa, Chordata, Mammalia, Rodentia, Cricetidae.
GAAAUGCCUCCAUGAGAUCCAGCUGUAAGGCAUCUUCUCAGUUAGUGAUCAAUGGGGGAAGGCCCAGCUGUUGUUGGGUGGUACUAUCCCUGGGCUGGUGGUCCUG